Limulus polyphemus (Atlantic horseshoe crab) is the source of this 353-nucleotide long non-coding RNA. RefSeq lists it as uncharacterized. NCBI's taxonomy places the organism in Eukaryota, Metazoa, Arthropoda, Merostomata, Xiphosura, Limulidae. The record is from RefSeq and is a predicted model, not a curated record. The transcript is spliced from 3 exons.
UAGCAAACAACAUGGCUUCCAUAUCUUGUGAGCUACUUCGUAAACACUAUUUGGAUACUGGAUUUCAACAGGAAGACGCGUUGGAAUACAAAUUUUAGCAAACCAUGUGAGAAGGCUGUUGGCAACUGUUGCCCUUGGAAUCAACGCCAUACCGACGGUAACCCGGACAACCAAAAACUGUCAACAAGCUGGAACAGAAGGACUGUAACUCUCAACUAGUGGGAACUUACCUGAAUUAUUUUCAUCUACAUGAUUAUUACAACAUUAAGACUUGGCUAAUGAGCAAAAAUUAAUCAACAUUUUCUAUCAGGGAAUUUUUUUUUGGAAAUGAAAUGGUUUAGUCCAGUCAACAA